This 378-nucleotide unclassified non-coding RNA is filed under the name plant metagenome. Its description in RNAcentral is "partial contains 5.8S ribosomal RNA, internal transcribed spacer 2, and large subunit ribosomal RNA". The stretch from base 1 to 105 matches the Rfam family "5.8S ribosomal RNA", at positions 50 to 154 of the family's 154-position model. The record is from RNAcentral.
GAAAUGCGAUAAGUAAUGUGAAUCGCAGAAUUCAGUGAAUCAUCGAAUCUUUGAACGCACCUUGCGCUCCUUGGUAUUCCUUGGAGCAUGCCUGUUUGAGUAUCAUGAAAUCUUCAAAGUAAAUCUUUUGUUAACUCAAUUGGUUUCUACUUUGGUAUUGGAGGUCUUUGCAGCUUCACACCUGCUCCUCUUUGUUCAUUAGCUGGAUCUCAGUGUUAUGCUUGGUUCCACUCGGCGUGAUAAGUUAUCUAUCGCUGAGGACACUGUAAAAGGUGGCCAAGGUAAAUGCAGAUGAACCGCUUCUAAUAGUCCAUUGACUUGGACAAUACUUUUAUGAUCUGAUCUCAAAUCAGGUAGGACUACCCGCUGAACUUAAGC